This 242-nucleotide unclassified non-coding RNA is filed under the name uncultured fungus. RNAcentral's name for it is "sequence contains ITS1, 5.8S rRNA gene". The stretch from base 194 to 242 matches the Rfam family "5.8S ribosomal RNA", at positions 1 to 49 of the family's 154-position model. Lineage: Eukaryota; Fungi. The record is from RNAcentral.
UUUCCGUAGGUUAACCUGCGGAAGGAUCAUUAAAGAUUCAAAAACUCCUCGGCUGUGCGCUUCGGCUGCACGCUGGGGUUAAUCCACACACACACCUGUGCACACUUCGGUUGCGAAAGGCUUAACGGCCGGACGCUUCCGCUUUUACACAUAUAACAAAACCGUCCAGAAUGUAACACACUAUAAAAGUAACAACUUUCAACAACGGAUCUCUUGGCUCUCGCAUCGAUGAAGAACGCAGC